Symphalangus syndactylus (siamang) is the source of this 2192-nucleotide long non-coding RNA. RefSeq lists it as uncharacterized. NCBI's taxonomy places the organism in Eukaryota, Metazoa, Chordata, Mammalia, Primates, Hylobatidae. The record is from RefSeq and is a predicted model, not a curated record.
ACUUCCCCCUCCCCAUCUCCUGGCUCCUGGCCUCUCUGGGACCGAGGCCUAGGCUGGGCACUGGGCAGUGGGGGCCUGGAGAGGAAGGAGGCUCGGGAGGCGGCUUCAGGGGGAGGUUUCUGCACGGAAGGUCACGAUGUCCUGCAGCCCUGUAGCCUGGACCUGAUAAUUAGGGCAGACAAUCCAGGCCCUGUGUGCACCAGCGGCUCUCUCCGGGCUGGGGCCCCAGGCGGAGGACAGGAUGGCUGGUGGGGGCCCAGAGGCCUCCCACAAAGGCAAUCCUGGAAACCUGUGGGCUGUGCUGCCUAGGGUGAGAGACAGUGUGCCUUUCAUUCCAUCCAGCCCGGGGCGAAGAGCGGGACGUGAGGGCGGAAGUCCCUCCCCGCCCUGGGACGUGCAGGCGAGCCCGGAGCCAGGGACUCCCCUUCACUGGCUGCGCCGGGGGAUAUUGAGGGCAGAGUGGCGUUAUAACUCACAGCGGAGCUCGGUUGGGCCUCACUGUGACAAUGUCACUGAAGGAAAAGGAGCCUUCUCAGAACCUUCCUUUGCUCUCCCGCCCCAUUGCCUGCUAGAUUUGAGCCUCACCGUGCCAUCAUGCCAAGAAGCAUGACAGAGGAACAGCGCUCCAGAGGACAGCAGGCGACCUUCUCGGUGGCCCGCUCCCACAGCAGCUGGGUCACUGCUGGUUUCAACUCAUCCUUCUGCACAAACUCACAGAGCUAAGGAGAAAAGAAAAAGGGCUCAAGCCAAAAAUGAACAGUUCCUUGAUCUUUGAUCUGCUUUUCUGAAGAUGAUAUUGAGAACCUGAAGCAGACAAAAGUAAUACUUAGGAAUGGAAAAAGACAGAGGAGGCGCAAACGUAACGCAGGGGCUUGAGAGGCUUUCCAGCUCCACUUUUCUACUCUCAUGCCUUCAAAACGAUUUUAUUCAAGUGACAUAUCGAAACUGACCUUCUGAGUUCCAUGUGGGUCCAUAGUUCUAAGUCUGGAGAUUUCUAAGAGGUUUUCUUGCCGUUACCACAAACUCAGCAUGUCUAACAUAGAAGCCAUCAUCCUUCCUUGCCUUUUCAUUUUGCCAGUGGUAUCAACACUUCAUCAGUUAUAUGUGCUUAAAAUUUCAGUCACCUCAUUUUUUUACAAAUCAGUCACUAUUUUUCCUUUAAAAAUUUGUCUUCCAUUAAGCCCAUUCUGCAGUGAUUUCUCCAAUCCCCAAGUCCAGCCCCUCAUUACUGCCCACUGCAGCAGCCUCCACUGGCCUUCCUUCCCAUGGGUUGGUCUCCUCAGCCUCUGCUUCCCCAGGUCACUUCUGUUGCACCCCAGGUUGCAGCUGCUCUCCCCUGCCUCUUGUAGGGCUUUUGCCGGUAACUGGCCUAUGACAUUGUGGCCAAUCACCACCACCAGGCUCUUUUCUUUUCCCUAGUGAGAAAAAUGUGGCUGGCAGGAGUGCUCUUCCCAGCGCCACCUCCCCUCUCUGUGCCCACAAUGCAAAUGCUACAAAGCAGAAUUGUCUCACUAAAAUGCUGGGUGCCUGGCUAACACAGCUAAAGUCCUAGACUCCUGAAGUCAUUCAGGGACUUCCACAGUUUAGUUCCAACCUACAUUCACAACUUUAUCUUUUCCAGAUUUUUUUUUUUUUUUUUUUUUUUUUGAGACAGAGUCUCCCUCUGUCGCCCAGGCUAGAGUGCAGUGGCGUGAUCUCGGCUCACUGCUACCUCCACCUCCUGGGUUCAAGCGACUGUUCUGCCUCAGCCUCCCGAGUAGCUGGGACUACAGGUGCCCACCGCCACACCUGGCUAAUUUUUUUGUAUUUUUAGUAGAGACGGGGUUUCGCCGUGUUGGCCAGGCUGGUCUCGAACUCCUGACCUCAGACCUCAGGUAAUCUGCUGCCUUGGCCUCCCAAAGUGCUGGGAUUACAGACGUGAGCCAUCAUGCCCGGUCUUUUCCAGAUAAUUUGAACCAGAACACAAUCUUCUUUGCUCUACAAUGUGAACUGUGCUGUUUCUUGGGUUCUGUUUGAAAUGCCCUCCCUCCUUGCUCUGAUUCUCUAAAUCCUACUGAUCUUUCGAGACCCAGCUUAAGUCCUGCCACCUUCAGGAAGCUUCCUUGACCAUUCUACCCCAAACCGCUCUGUUUCCUACUCUGUACCCCUCAGUAGAACACAGAAGUUAGGAGUAUGUUUUCUAGAGCUCUUAU